AUUGAACGCUGGCGGCAGGCCUAACACAUGCAAGUCGAACGGUAACAGGAAGCAGCUUGCUGCUUUGCUGACGAGUGGCGGACGGGUGAGUAAUGUCUGGGAAACUGCCCGAUGGAGGGGGAUAACUACUGGAAACGGUAGCUAAUACCGCAUAACGUCGCAAGACCAAAGAGGGGGACCUUAGGGCCUCUUGCCAUCGGAUGUGCCCAGAUGGGAUUAGCUAGUAGGUGGGGUAACGGCUCACCUAGGCGACGAUCCCUAGCUGGUCUGAGAGGAUGACCAGCCACACUGGAACUGAGACAAGGUCCAGACUACUACGGGAGGCAGCAGUGGGGAAUAUUGCACAAAGGGCGAAAGCCUGAUGCAGCCAUGCCGCGUGUAUGAAGAAGGCCUUCGGGUUGUAAAGUACCUUCAGCGGGGAGGAAGGGAGUAAAGUUAAUACCUUUGCUCAUUGACGUUACCCGCAGAAGAAGCACCGGCUAACUCCGUG
Molecule: ribosomal RNA, 490 nt
Filed under: uncultured bacterium
Lineage: Bacteria
Description: partial 16S ribosomal RNA
Rfam family: Bacterial small subunit ribosomal RNA
Source: RNAcentral